Non-coding RNA from Odocoileus virginianus texanus, 584 nucleotides. Lineage: Eukaryota; Metazoa; Chordata; Mammalia; Artiodactyla; Cervidae. The record is from RefSeq and is a predicted model, not a curated record.
UCACGUGUCCGGAGGGUCCGACAGUAGGUCUCUCCUUUUGCCUGCGGCGUGAGUGCAGAGUGCGAACUGUGGCGGCCGGAGUCAUGGCAGGACAGGCAUUUAGAAAGUUUCUUCUCCUCUUUGACCGAGUAUUAGUUGAAAGAAGUGCAGCCGAAACUGUAACCAAAGGAGGCAUUAUGCUUCCAGAAAAAUCACAAGGAAAAGUAUUGCAAGCAACGGUGGUAGCUGUUGGAUCAGGCUCUAAAGGAAAGGGUGGAGAGAUUCAACCAGUUAGUGUGAAAGUUGGAGAUAAAGUUCUUCUCCCAGAAUAUGGAGGCACCAAAGUAGUUCUAGACGACAAGGAUUAUUUCUUAUUUAGAGAUGGUGACAUUCUUGGGAAAUAUGUUGACUGAAAUAAGUCACUAUUGAAAUGGCAUCACAUGAAGCUGCCCAUUCCACUGAAGUUCUGAAAUCUUUCAUCAUGUAAAUAAUUUCCAUGUUUCUCUUUUAUAAUAAACUAAGGAUAUCCAAGCUAAUGACACCCAGUGUUUAAAAUUUAGUUUCACUGCACUGGUAUAAACAUUUCCAAAUAAAAAAAUAUAAAU